UUGAAGAAGCUACCAUGAUUCCGUUGAAUGUAUUUUCUUUCAAGAAUUCAGCUGAGAUUUUGGCUACUUGUGGUGAAUACCACUAUCUAACUAGUAUUGUGAUUAAACCAAUAAUCUGUUUCUUGAGUUGUCAUACUGAUUUAUUGUGUAAUGUUUACACAACUAUUUCUCAUUAUAUGUUUAUGUUGAACAUGUUUCAGUUAGUUCUCAUCGGCAAACACUUAUUAAUGCUUCUCAAUUGAGCAUCAAAAACUACUGACAUUGUGCUAUUGUUAUACUAAACAUGUUGGUUUCGAUUUAAAAUGGAGGUUUUUGAUGGGCAAGAUAGUGUUGUCUUCUUGCUAUUUGAUCUUGAGGCAUAGACCUCUUCUUGCUAUUUGAUCUUGAGGCAUGUGAAGAGCUUCUGAACACUAUUGAAGUAAGCUGACACACAUAUAGACCUCUAAGGACUGAUAUUAUUUUGUUAGGAUAUUUGAUAUGAGUUAAGCCAAUACAUAUGUUACGGUUCAUUACUAACUAUGGCCUCCUUAUUUAAUAGAUUGAGAAGAAAGUCAUUCCUAAUGGUGAUUACCCAGAUGACAUUGAAGAAUGCCUAGCUGGCAAAGAAAUGCUAUUCAAAGUGUGCAACAAUUCUGGAGUUAAGCAUGAUCGAGAUGAUUGCUUCCAAAUUCUAAGGAUAUGUACUGACCUUGGUAUCAUUGCAAUGUUCCAUGAACAUGAUGUCUUAGUUACUCCCAAACAGGUUUUUAUUUUUUCAUUUCCCAUUGUUCAUCUAAUCCAAUUUAUUAUUCUAUAAUUUUACAUGAUAUAGCUAGGAUUUAUUUCAUUUUAGAUGAUUAUAGAGGUUUCAAUUUUAUUCAUUGAAUAUGAAAACUUUUACAGUUGUGUCUUCUUGCUAUUUGAUCUUGAGGCAGAGCUUUUAGCUGGCUUUUCAUGUGAAAAGAUUCUGAACACUAUUGAAGUAAGCUAACACACAUAUAGACCUCUAAGGACUGAUAUUAUUUUGUUAGGAUAUUUGAUAUGAGUUAAGCCAAUACAUAUGUUACGGUUCAUUACUAACUAUGGCCUCCUUAUUUAAUAGAUUGAGAAGAAAGUCAUUCCUAAUGGUGAUUACCCAGAUGACA
This 1124-nucleotide long non-coding RNA is filed under the name Lotus japonicus. RNAcentral describes it as "long non-coding RNA (LJAP_LNC000669)". Lineage: Eukaryota; Viridiplantae; Streptophyta; Magnoliopsida; Fabales; Fabaceae. The record is from RNAcentral.